This 253-nucleotide ribosomal RNA is filed under the name uncultured bacterium. RNAcentral's name for it is "partial 16S ribosomal RNA". It matches the Rfam family "Bacterial small subunit ribosomal RNA", at positions 524 to 776 of the family's 1533-position model. The record is from RNAcentral.
UACGGGGGGGGCAAGCGUUGUUCGGAAUUACUGGGCGUAAAGGGCUCGUAGGUGGCCAACUAAGUCAGACGUGAAAUCCCUCGGCUUAACCGGGGAACUGCGUCUGAUACUGGAUGGCUUGAGUUCGGGAGAGGGAUGCGGAAUUCCAGGUGUAGCGGUGGAAUGCGUAGAGAUCGGGAAGAACAUCGGUGGCGAAGGCGGCCAGCUGGGCCAUUGCUGACGCUGAGGCGCGACAGCGUGGGGAGCAAACAGG